CCCUCGGUCGUCUAGUUGGUUUAUGGCGUCGUAGGUUCACCCAAAAAUUGCUCUCAGUUAGUUGAAAAAGCUAACAUCGGCAUUUCUAGCGGCUGUAAUUGUUCAGUCUCACCGGAAUGUCGCGCGUUCGACUCGCGCCUGAGGGA
Molecule: non-coding RNA, 146 nt
Organism: Acephala macrosclerotiorum
Lineage: Eukaryota; Fungi; Ascomycota; Leotiomycetes; Helotiales; Mollisiaceae
Source: the annotation of a GenBank genome assembly